RNAcentral lists this long non-coding RNA (1392 nucleotides) under Suricata suricatta (meerkat). RNAcentral's name for it is "lncRNA (ENSSSUG00005011029.1)". Lineage: Eukaryota; Metazoa; Chordata; Mammalia; Carnivora; Herpestidae. The record is from RNAcentral.
CGUUAAGGCCUGACGACACUGCCAUCAAGAAUGCUGGUGCGUGAUUUCUUCAAAGCCCAUUCGCAUCACAGUGCUGAAGCUAUGACAGCGUCACAGCUGCUUUGGUAUCCAGUUAUUUCAGAGCUCAGACUUCCAAAUUUCAACACGUGGUGGUUUUCAAACAGGCCUGGAACAAAAGGCGCCCUUGGCUGUGAAUUUAUAUCGUGACGCUCCCGCACACCUUCCGAGCCUAACCUCAAUGGCUGGGAAGCUCACUUAGAUUCCAGCCGCGCGGACCCUUCCCCUUCGCCCCCUUCCCGGUUCCACGGACCCCUGACGCUCCGCCAACUUGGCCGCCCUCACAGGCCGCUCGUUUCCGACAGUUUUGGGGCGUCCGUGCAGCUUGCGCGGCGUUGUUUGCGGACCCCCCUCACCCAGCGCCUCGGCACAGGUAGGCGCCAGGACUGGGACCGGAACUCCCCAGGAGAGCGGCUGGAAGACCGCGGAGACCGAGGACCUCCACGAAGCGCGCGUGCGCCCAGGAGCCGCCGGAAGUGGGGCCGCUCGAGCCCCCACGGCCGCCGUAGCGGGUCCCCGGGAGCUGGGCGUGCGGCCGGGAACGGGUGGAUUCGCAGAGGGGAGGCGGGGACGCUGGAGAUCGCGGUGGAAUCAGGGAAAACCCAGAUCAGCGUGCGAGUUUCUGGCGGAAGAGCUUAAGGAGGGGAGAGGUUCCGCGGCUGUGCGUGGCUCUGAGGUGGGGAUGACUUUGCUGCCAGGCCCGGGGGACUGCGGUGGGCAGUCGGUCAGGCUCUGUGGAGAUCAAGGACUGAGACUCGUGAGGUCAGAGUCUGGGGUCUGUGCGGGUCCCUGUGCCAGGGGCGGUCCGGGUUUGAGAACUGGAGGCGAGUGGGUAUCUGUCGAUGAAAGUGUUGUCCAGUUCCCUGUCCUCCGACUGGUUUGCAAGGCUCCUGAGGCCCCCACAGGUCCUGGAUUCCCAGGAAUAAGAGAGAUCCAGUAAAGGACGAGUCGGAGGUUCCUGGAGUUGCAUACAGCCAGUUGUGGGACAUCCGUGUCCUAAGACCAAGAUUUCUUAACAGAAAAUCAGGACAGAUCCAGAAGAGACUAACAUCCCCGUUACUGGGCAUUUCCUGAAACAGAAGAAAAUGCUGAAGGUCCAGGUGACUUUUGGUUUGUUUUAUUGGUAACUUGAGUCCUUCAUGGAUUUGGGGAGGCCUGAAAAAAAUCAGUUCAACUAAAUAAUAAAUUAAAAAUAUUGAGAAAAAUGGCUCUGGGGAAAAACAGAUGUCUCUUCAAAACCAGGGCAGAGUGGGAUCAGGAACAUGUUGUUCCUAGAGUUCGUGCGUGACCAGUGCUGGAAUAUGGCGUACGGCUCUGCAGGACCCUGCCGGUGAC